CCCUUAGAUGUUCUGGGCAGCACGCGCGCUACAAUGGUCUUCGCAAACGGAUGCAUUCUCGAAGGAGAAUGCCAAUCUUGGAAUCUAUGCCUUGGUCGGGACAGUUGCUUGCAAUUUUUCGACUCGAACCAGGAAUUCCUUGUAAUCGUGAUUCAUCACAUCACGAUGAAUACGUCCCUGCCCUUUGUACACACCGCCCGUCGCUCCUACCGAUCGAAGAGUUAGGUGAAUUGUUUUGAUCGAUAAGAUUUGACUAUGGUCAACUCUCGUUGUGAAAUUCUGUGAAGCUGACUGUUUAGAGGAAGGAAAAGUCGUAACA
RNAcentral lists this ribosomal RNA (319 nucleotides) under uncultured eukaryote. RNAcentral's name for it is "partial 18S ribosomal RNA". It matches the Rfam family "Eukaryotic small subunit ribosomal RNA", at positions 1470 to 1796 of the family's 1831-position model. The record is from RNAcentral.